GCCUUCAUGGUGUAAUGGUCAGCACACUCAAGAGUGCAUUCGAGAGGUCGGAGGUUCGAGUCCCAGUGAGAGCA
Non-coding RNA from Stegodyphus mimosarum, 74 nucleotides. NCBI's taxonomy places the organism in Eukaryota, Metazoa, Arthropoda, Arachnida, Araneae, Eresidae. The record is from Rfam.